GACGAACCGUGCGAACGUUGUUCGGAAUCAUUGGGCUUAAAGGGUGCGUAGGCUGGUUCUCAAGUCCGUGGUGAAAUCCUCCGGCUCAACCGGAGAACUGCCGUGGAUACUGGGGAUCUCGAGGGGUGUAGGGGCAUGUGGAACUCAGGGUGGAGCGGUGAAAUGCGUAGAUAUCCUGAGGAACGCCGGUGGCGAAAGCGACGUGCUGGACACCUUCUGACGCUGAGGCACGAAAGCCAGGGGAGCAAACGGG
Molecule: ribosomal RNA, 253 nt
Filed under: uncultured bacterium
Lineage: Bacteria
Description: partial 16S ribosomal RNA
Rfam family: Bacterial small subunit ribosomal RNA
Source: RNAcentral